GUGGCUCAGAGGUAAAGCGGGUUGGACCUCAACCACAAGAUUGGUGGUUUGAUCCCAGGCUCCUCCAGCCACAUGUCAAAGUGUCCUUGAGGAAGAAGAGAAGAUGA
This is a long non-coding RNA of Sander lucioperca (pikeperch), 107 nucleotides long. RefSeq lists it as uncharacterized. The transcript has 3 exons. Lineage: Eukaryota; Metazoa; Chordata; Actinopteri; Perciformes; Percidae. The record is from RefSeq and is a predicted model, not a curated record.